RNAcentral lists this unclassified non-coding RNA (253 nucleotides) under Hevea brasiliensis (rubber tree). The record is from RNAcentral. Lineage: Eukaryota; Viridiplantae; Streptophyta; Magnoliopsida; Malpighiales; Euphorbiaceae.
AUCCAUUACCCAAGAAGCUGAAGGUAUCUGCUGCUGGGACAUCUUGACGAGAAUCUAGAAAGGUCAGAUUUAAUUCCUAGAACUACUCGGAAUUCUCAAUCACUGUGCGCAGUUGGUUUGCCAGCGAGAAGACCCAUUAAUUUGUGCAGUUUUACAUUGAAAAUGAUGAGGGAGUUUUGAUUGUACUUCAUCUUGAAUAUAUAUUAUUGAUUUUGGGUUAUACUUAGCACUGUAGAAGAUUGUAACUUAGAAG